Molecule: long non-coding RNA, 499 nt
Filed under: Homo sapiens (human)
Lineage: Eukaryota; Metazoa; Chordata; Mammalia; Primates; Hominidae
Description: HSALNT0177567
Source: RNAcentral
GGGGAGUGUGUGAAUCAAAGGAGCAGACCGCAGCUGGAGCCACCUCGCCUGGAUUCCUGAACGCAGACUCUUGACAGACCGAUUGUGUAACGGCAUUCCUCCCAAGGAAACACGCCUGCCCCCUCCAAGAAGGUGGAUGGAGGCAGAAGAGGUGCUGAGUCUGGAACCCAUGGCUGCUGCGGACGAGGAGCUGGGUGAUGCUUGCCUGGGCACCGUAUCGCUCUCAUCCUGUUUUCUCGCCUGUGAAAUGGGAAUGGCGCUCAUGCUUCUCUGUGGGAUGCUGGGAAAGGAACAUGAGGGCGUCCAUGGAAGUGUUUGAGGCAUGCCUGCUCCAGGGGGAAGCUCCAGAAAUGACACCUAUGAUCUCCCAGCUGUGUUCCCUUUAAGUUAACAAACACUCGUCUGGUCUGGGGCUGGGGUACAGCGAUGAGGAUGACCUGGUCCGAGCCCCAGGAAUGUGGGCCGUAGGAAGGGCAUGGGCAUGAAAGACGUGCUCAGG